AGAACGAACGCUGGCGGCGUGGAUAAGACAUGCAAGUCGAACGAGAUCUCCGGAUAGCUUGCUAACUGGAGUGAAAGUGGCGGACGGGGGCGUAACACGUGAGAAACCUGCCCUAAAGUUCGGGAUAGCCCUACGAAAGUAGGAUUAAUACCGAAUGUGGCCAAGGAAGGGCAUCUUCCCUUGGCUAAAGCUCGGUUAUAGAGCGCUUUUGGAUGGUCUCGCGGUCUAUCAGCUUGUUGGGGAGGUAACGGCUCACCAAGGCGAUGACGGGUAGCUGGUCUGAGAGGACGAUCAGCCUCACUGGAACUGAGACACGGUCCAGACACCUACGGGUGGCAGCAGUCGAGAAUCAUUCACAAUGGGCGCAAGCCUGAUGGUGCGACGCCGCGUGGGGGAUGAAGGGCUUCGGUUCGUAAACCCCUGUCAUCUGUGAGUAAGGCUCCCAAUAAAAGCUUGGGAGAUUGAUAUCAGCAGAAGAGGAAGGGACGGCUAACUCAGUGCCAGCAGCCGCGGUAAUACUGAGGUCCCAAGCGUUGUUCGGAUUUACUGGGCGUAAAGGGUGCGUAGGCGGCUAUAAAAGUUUGGUGUGAAAUCUCCGGGCUCAACCCGGAAACUGCAUUGAAAACUAGAUAGCUAGAGGAUCGGAGAGGAGAUUGGAAUUCUCAGUGUAGCAGUGAAAUGCGUAGAUAUUGAGAGGAACACCAGUUGCGAAGGCGGAUCUCUGGACGGUUCCUGACGCUGAGGCACGAAAGCUGGGGUAGCGAAGAGGAUUAGAUACCCUCGUAGUCCCAGCCGUAAACGAUGUGUGCUAGACGUUGGGAAUUUAAUUCUCAGUGUCGCAGCAAAAGCGUUAAGCACACCGCCUGGGGAGUACGACCGCAAGGUUAAA
RNAcentral lists this ribosomal RNA (889 nucleotides) under marine metagenome. RNAcentral describes it as "bacterial SSU rRNA". It matches the Rfam family "Bacterial small subunit ribosomal RNA", at positions 26 to 898 of the family's 1533-position model. The record is from RNAcentral.